UAACGGCGUCGAGCGGAGGACGGGUGAGUAAUGCCUAUGAAAUUGCCCUGAUGUGGGGGAUAACCAUUGGAAACGAUGGCUAAUACCGCAUGAUGCCUACGGGCCAAAGAGGGGGACCUUCGGGCCUCUCGCGUCAGGAUAUGCCUAGGUGGGAUUAGCUAGUUGGUGAGGUAAGGGCUCACCAAGGCGACGAUCCCUAGCUGGGCUGAGAGGAUGAUCAGCCACACUGGAACUGAGACACGGUCCAGACUCCUACGGGAGGCAGCAGUGGGGAAUAUUGCACAAUGGGCGCAAGCCUGAUGCAGCCAUGCCGCGUGUGUGAAGAAGGCCUUCGGGUUGUAAAGCACUUUCAGUCCUGAGGAAGGUAGUGUAGUUAAUAGCUGCAUUAUUUGACGUUAGCGACAGAAGAAGCACCGGCUAACUCCGUGCCAGCAGCCGCGGUAAUACGGAGGGUGCGAGCGUUAAUCGGAAUUACUGGGCGUAAAGCGCAUGCAGGUGGUUUGUUAAGUCAGAUGUGACAGCCCGGGGCUCAACCUCGGAAUUGCAUUUGAAACUGGCAGACUAGAGUACUGUAGAGGGGGGUAGAAUUUCAGGUGUAGCGGUGAAAUGCGUAGAGAUCUGAAGGAAUACCGGUGGCGAAGGCGGCCCCCUGGACAGAUACUGACACUCAGAUGCGAAAGCGUGUGGAGCAAACAGGAUUAGAUACCCUGGUAGUCCACGCCGUAAACGAUGUCUACUUGGACGUUGUGGCCUUGAGCCGUGGCUUUCGGAGCUAACGCGUUAAGUAGACCGCCUGGGGAGUACAGUUCGCAAGAUUAAAACUCAAAUGAAUUGACGGGGGCCCUGCACAAGCGGUUGCAGCAUGUGGCUUAAUUCCAUGCAACGCGUAGGA
Molecule: ribosomal RNA, 892 nt
Filed under: Vibrio parahaemolyticus
Lineage: Bacteria; Pseudomonadati; Pseudomonadota; Gammaproteobacteria; Vibrionales; Vibrionaceae
Description: bacterial SSU rRNA
Rfam family: Bacterial small subunit ribosomal RNA
Source: RNAcentral